RNAcentral lists this ribosomal RNA (636 nucleotides) under Liagora albicans. RNAcentral's name for it is "eukaryotic LSU rRNA". It matches the Rfam family "Eukaryotic large subunit ribosomal RNA", at positions 1264 to 1919 of the family's 3401-position model. Lineage: Eukaryota; Rhodophyta; Florideophyceae; Nemaliales; Liagoraceae. RNAcentral also lists the same sequence under 1 other name. The record is from RNAcentral.
GAAUCCGCCAAGGAGUGUGUAACAACUCACCUGCCGAAUGAAUUAGCCCUGAAAAUGGAUGGCGCUUAAGCGGGCAGCCGACACCGCGCCGUUCCGGCGAGACGAUGCCGGGAUGAGUAGGAGGGCGUGGCGGUCAGUGACGCAGGCGAGGGUGCAGACCCCGCUGAAACGGCCGCUAGUGCAGAUCUUGGUGGUAGUAGCAAAUAUUCAAGCGAGAUCCUUGAAGGGCGAAGCGGGGAAGGGUUCCACGCAAACAUUGAUUGGGCGUGGGUGAGUCGUUCCUAAGCCGAGUGGCAAUUGCUAAGUAGCGGCGAAAGGGAAGCGGGUUAAAAUUCCCGCACACGGAUAUGGAGGCGGCGACGCAAGCAGAGGCAAAUACGCUGGCGAGGGCGCUGGGCAGAGUUGUCUUUUCUGUUUGACCGGCAUCGCGCUGUGUGGAAUCCGCUUAUCGGGAGAAACACGCGCGGGGAGGGGCAGAGCGUCAGGUCUUUUCUGGCGUCCGGCUCGCCCUCGACGGCCCUUGAAAAUUUGCCCGCGAACUUAAAUUUCAUGCUGUGACGUACCGAUAACCGCAUCAGGUCCCCAAGGUGAACAGCCUCUGCUCAAUAUGAACAAUGCAGGUAAGGGAAGUCGGCA